This 25-nucleotide non-coding RNA is filed under the name Drosophila erecta. Lineage: Eukaryota; Metazoa; Arthropoda; Insecta; Diptera; Drosophilidae. The record is from RNAcentral. RNAcentral also lists the same sequence under 1 other name.
UGUUGUCGAAUUGCUCUGGCUAGGA